RNAcentral lists this unclassified non-coding RNA (239 nucleotides) under Rhizophagus sp. (in: glomeromycetes). Its description in RNAcentral is "partial contains 5.8S ribosomal RNA and internal transcribed spacer 2". The stretch from base 1 to 65 matches the Rfam family "5.8S ribosomal RNA", at positions 84 to 154 of the family's 154-position model. Lineage: Eukaryota; Fungi; Glomeromycota; Glomeromycetes; Glomerales; Glomeraceae. The record is from RNAcentral.
GUGAAUCAUCAAAUUUUUGAACGCAAAUUGCACUCUCUUCGGAGAGUAUGCCUGUUUGAGGGUCAGUAUUAAUAAAAAAUCGGUUUGGUUGCAAAUUGUGACGUUUCCGGAGUUUGGGCUAUCUUAACUUUUUUGGUUAAGGGGCUUAAAAUUGACCUUAUUUGCGCAUUUUUAGACGUACAUAAAUUUUUUUUUUUUCCGUCUUUUUUUAUUGCAAAAAUCUUAUUAGAUGCGUUAAA